GGGAUAGUAAGAGCUUGCUUUUCUUGAGAGUGGCGCACGGGUGCGUAACACGUAUGUAACCUACCUUUAUCAGGGGGAUAGCCUCUCGAAAGAGAGAUUAAGACCGCAUAACAUCAUUGAACAGCAUUGUUUGAUGAUCAAAUGUUUAUAGGAUAAAGAUGGGCAUGCGGGACAUUAGCUAGUUGGCGGGGUAACGGCCCACCAAGGCGACGAUGUCUAGGGGAUCUGAGAGGAUGACCCCCCACACUGGUACUGAGACACGGACCAGACUCCUACGGGAGGCAGCAGUAAGGAAUAUUGGUCAAUGGACGGAAGUCUGAACCAGCCAUGCCGCGUGCAGGAAGACGGCCCUACGGGUUGUAAACUGCUUUUGCAGGGGAAUAAACCUUCGUAUGUAUACGAAGCUGAAUGUACUCUGAGAAUAAGGAUCGGCUAACUCCGUGCCGGCAGCCGCGGUAAUACGGAGGAUCCAAGCGUUAUCCGGAUUUAUUGGGUUUAAAGGGUGCGUAGGCGGCCAAUUAAGUCAGGGGUGAAAGACGGUAGCUUAACUAUCGCAGUGCCUUUGAUACUGAUUGGCUUGAAUGGACUAGAGGUAGGCGGAAUGUGACAAGUAGCGGUGAAAUGCAUAGAUAUGUCACAGAACACCAAUUGCGAAGGCAGCUUACUAUGGUUUAAUUGACGCUGAGGCACGAAAGCGUGGGGAUCAAACAGGAUUAGAUACCCUGGUAGUCCACGCCCUAAACGAUGAACACUCGAUGUUAGCGAUAUACAGUUAGCGUCUAAGCGAAAGCGUUAAGUGUUCCACCUGGGGAGUACGCCCGCAAGGGUGAAACUCAAAGGAAUUGACGGGGGCCCGCACAAGCGGAGGAGCAUGUGGUUUAAUUCGAUGAUACGCGAGGAACCUUACCCGGGCUUGAAAGUUAGUGAAUGAUACAGAGACGUAUCAGUCCUUCGGGACACGAAACUAGGUGCUGCAUGGCUGUCGUCAGCUCGUGCCGUGAGGUGUUGGGUUAAGUCCCGCAACGAGCGCAACCCCUAUGUUUAGUUGCCAGCACGUUAAGGUGGGGACUCUAAACAGACUGCCUACGCAAGUAGAGAGGAAGGAGGGGACGACGUCAAGUCAUCAUGGCCCUUACGUCCGGGGCUACACACGUGCUACAAUGGUCAGUACAGAGGGCAGCUACCUGGCAACAGGAUGCCCAUCUCACAAAGCUGAUCACAGUUCGGAUCGGGGUCUGCAACUCGACCCCCGUGAAGUUGGAUU
Molecule: ribosomal RNA, 1264 nt
Filed under: uncultured bacterium
Lineage: Bacteria
Description: bacterial SSU rRNA
Rfam family: Bacterial small subunit ribosomal RNA
Source: RNAcentral